RNAcentral lists this transfer RNA (25 nucleotides) under Bryopteris filicina. Its description in RNAcentral is "partial transfer RNA-Phe". Lineage: Eukaryota; Viridiplantae; Streptophyta; Jungermanniopsida; Porellales; Lejeuneaceae. The record is from RNAcentral.
GCCGGGAUAGCUCAAUUGGUAGAGC